AGUGAACGCUGGCGGUAGGCCUAACACAUGCAAGUCGAACGGCAGCACAGUAAGAUCUUGCUCUUACGGGUGGCGAGUGGCGGAGGGGUGAGGAAUACAUCGGAAUCUACUUUUGCGUGGGGGAUAACGUAGGGAAACGUACGCUAAUACCGCAUACGACCUACGGGUGAAAGCAUGGGAUCUUCAGACCUUGCGCUAUUGAAUGAGCCGAUGUCGGAUUAGCUAGUUGGCGGGGUAAUGGCCCACCAAGGCGACGAUCCGUAGCUGGUCUGAGAGGAUGAUCAGCCACACUGGAACUGAGACACGGUCCAGACUCCUACGGGAGGCAGCAGUGGGGAAUAUUGGACAAUGGGCGCAAGCCUGAUCCAGCCAUACCGCGUGGGUGAAGAAGGCCUUCGGGUUGUAAAGCCCUUUUGUUGGGAAAGAAAAGCAGCAGGUUAAUACCCCGCUGUUCUGACGGUACCCAAAGAAUAAGCACCGGCUAACUUCGUG
RNAcentral lists this ribosomal RNA (492 nucleotides) under uncultured bacterium. RNAcentral's name for it is "partial 16S ribosomal RNA". It matches the Rfam family "Bacterial small subunit ribosomal RNA", at positions 29 to 507 of the family's 1533-position model. The record is from RNAcentral.